GAGGGUAUAGCUCAGUGGUAGAGCGCAUGCUUAGCAUGCACAAGGUCCUGGGUUCAAUCCCUGGUACCUCCA
Molecule: transfer RNA, 72 nt
Organism: Camelus ferus (Wild Bactrian camel)
Lineage: Eukaryota; Metazoa; Chordata; Mammalia; Artiodactyla; Camelidae
Rfam family: tRNA
About the family: Transfer RNA (tRNA) molecules are approximately 80 nucleotides in length. Their secondary structure includes four short double-helical elements and three loops (D, anti-codon, and T loops). Further hydrogen bonds mediate the characteristic L-shaped molecular structure. tRNAs have two regions of fundamental functional importance: the anti-codon, which is responsible for specific mRNA codon recognition, and the 3' end, to which the tRNAs corresponding amino acid is attached (by aminoacyl-tRNA synthetases). tRNAs cope with the degeneracy of the genetic code in two manners: having more than one tRNA (with a specific anti-codon) for a particular amino acid; and 'wobble' base-pairing, i.e. permitting non-standard base-pairing at the 3rd anti-codon position.
Source: Rfam